Molecule: ribosomal RNA, 482 nt
Filed under: uncultured bacterium
Lineage: Bacteria
Description: partial 16S ribosomal RNA
Rfam family: Bacterial small subunit ribosomal RNA
Source: RNAcentral
GAUGAACGCUAGCGGCAGGCCUAAUACAUGCAAGUCGGACGGGAUUCAGGAGCUUGCUUCUGAUGAGAGUGGCGCACGGGUGCGUAACACGUAUGUAACCUACCUUUAUCAGGGGGAUAUCCUCUCGAAAGAGAGAUUAAGCCCGCAUAAAAUCACAGCACAGCAUUGUGUAAUGAUCAAAUAUUUAUAGGAUAAAGAUGGGCAUGCGGAACAUUAGCUAGAUGGCGGGGUAACGGCCCACCAUGGCGACGAUGUUUAGGGGAUCUGAGAGGAUGGCCCCCCACACUGGUACUGAGACACGGACCAGACUCCUACGGGAGGCAGCAGUAAGGAAUAUUGGUCAAUGGGCGGAAGCCUGAACCAGCCAUGCCGCGUGCAGGAAGACGGCCCUACGGGUUGUAAACUGCUUUUAUACGGGAAUAAACCCAGAUACGUGUAUCUGGCUGAAUGUACUGUAAGAAUAAGGAUCGGCUAACUCCGUG